ACUUGAUUAGUUUAAUGGUAGAACAGGUGUUUUGGGAACACUUGGUAUCAGUUCAACUCUGAGGUCUGCUU
This 71-nucleotide transfer RNA is filed under the name Clathrina clathrus. Its description in RNAcentral is "tRNA-Pro". The stretch from base 8 to 63 matches the Rfam family "tRNA", at positions 8 to 63 of the family's 71-position model. From Rfam's summary of the family: Transfer RNA (tRNA) molecules are approximately 80 nucleotides in length. The record is from RNAcentral. Lineage: Eukaryota; Metazoa; Porifera; Calcarea; Clathrinida; Clathrinidae.